GUCUUUAUCCCUGCAACCUGUACUGAUGCCAGCCUCCACCUCUCUUCUUUCUUAAAGCCAACAGCACCUGGCAUUUACUCUCAGGAAGUCUCCUAUCCAUGUACUGACGGAGCCAGACCCUGCUCAGCUCCCGAUGAGAGACGGGUGGUCAAGGUGAGAUGGCUGCAGCCCCCGCCCUCACUUCUGCAGCAUGCCCCCGGCUCUGCCCAGGACACUGUCCGUGAACACAUUCUUCUGCACCUUCACUCACUUCAAGCUCAGCUCAGGUCUAAAGGUGAUCCCGUCGGCUGCUCCAGUCCGACUCUGACCAAAAGUGGAGAGAGCAGAAUGAGUACACAGGAAAGUUAGCUGCACGGCACAAGAGAGGCCACUCCUGUCACUCGUCAAGACUCCAGCCAGAGCCCAGCUUGUGGGAAUGCCCACCUUCCAAACAGAAGAGCAAGACCUGACCAGCAAGGAGCGGCUGAGCUGCAUCUGACUGCAGUAAUACAGUUAUUCCCCAGGCACACUUAAGAGUCACUGUGUCAACCACCUGCAUCUUGGGCUCUGGCAACAAGGCCUGCAUGGCAAAAUAUCUUGCAGUAGGAUGUACUCGGGUUAGGGGUGAAACCACUUUGCCCUGGACUGUGCUCAGGUUAUAAGAGCUUCUAGCUACAGGUACUGACCAUGCUCAUCUUGGGAAGAGCUCCUGGUGGUGUAACACAACAACCCCCGUGCCCUCAACCCAGAGUCUCCAGCCUCUUGCCACCACUUCAGGUCACAGCAGUGAAGGGACAGCAUAGGAUUCUGAAGUACUCUCCCCACACAUGAAGCUUCAGGUGAGAGCAUCACUCAGGAAGUAGAAACAUUCACACUGCAGUGAAGAGGCCACCUUCCUGGGAACACCUGACAGCAUGGGAGCAGGAACCCCUCUGUUUUCUCAUCACCUUCACUUGGACUAAGGCUACCUUUGUAGGCAACUCCCAAUCAGAUGUGUCAGACCUCCUUUUAUUUUCGGUAUGACUAAUCAUUUUUCUAUCUUCAUUCCAUGCUGCCUUAAGACAAGACAGAGUCUGAGGCUAGGGUCUGCUAAUGCUGCCCUACUACACACUUUUGUGAAAUCUGUGACAGAAGCAAAGGGAACAGGGAUUUGUAAUGUUCAGAUAGAGGGGACACAGCCAGACAGAAGUACAGUACAAAGAGACAGAUGUGAGCAAACAUCUUUGAUUCCAAUAAUGAACUCUCUAAGUGGACUGCUUAUUCUGAGCAGAUGAUGAUGAGGAUGAGGAGGAGGAGGAGGAGGAUCUGCUAGGGGAUAAACUGGGGUGCACCCAGGGUUUCAGGGCGUCGACUCCUUGAAUACACCUGUGCAAGUACCAGGAUAAACAUCAGGCAUAGACUCUCAGAGAAGUCCCCACAGACAGCCAUGCAUCCGCAAACCCCUCACAUACAAGGGUAGCGGAGGAGGCUGUAUAGGCAUUGAGCUCUCUCCCUCCUAUUAUCUAUCAGGAAGAGAUCCAACUGUUCUUCCAGACUCAUCCCACCCAGCCUCCAGCCUCCAGCCUCCAGCCUCCAGACAGUAUUUCCCUUGCAGCACUGUGGCAGCAGCAGCUUCUGGAAUCAGUCAUCUACAGGGUUGGUGCGUGGCUCCCAUCAGUCUCUCUACAGAGCAUGGAGCUGCUUGGCAGUGCAGUGGCCCACCUCAAAAGGCAUGGCCAGGGAGUCAUCUUCUCACUCCAGACCUUCUCUGCAACAAAGCCGAUGAAUAUAAGCCGUACACAUCCUG
Molecule: long non-coding RNA, 1765 nt
Filed under: Mus musculus (house mouse)
Lineage: Eukaryota; Metazoa; Chordata; Mammalia; Rodentia; Muridae
Description: predicted gene, 41914
Source: RNAcentral